Molecule: ribosomal RNA, 637 nt
Filed under: Russula cf. ammodica UBC F18874
Lineage: Eukaryota; Fungi; Basidiomycota; Agaricomycetes; Russulales; Russulaceae
Description: eukaryotic LSU rRNA
Rfam family: Eukaryotic large subunit ribosomal RNA
Source: RNAcentral
UUGACCUCAAAUCGGGUGAGACUACCCGCUGAACUUAAGCAUAUCAAUAAGCGGAGGAAAAGAAACUAACAAGGAUUCCCCUAGUAACUGCGAGUGAAGCGGGAAAAGCUCAAAUUUAAAAUCUGGUGGUCUCUGGCCAUCCGAGUUGUAAUUUAGAGAAGCGUCUUCCGCGCUGGACCGUGCACAAGUCUCCUGGAAUGGAGCGUCGUAGAGGGUGAGAAUCCCGUCUUUGGCACGGACGCACCAGGGCUUCUGUGAUGCGCUCUCGAAGAGUCGAGUUGUUUGGGAAUGCAGCUCAAAAUGGGUGGUGAACUCCAUCUAAAGCUAAAUAUUGGCGAGAGACCGAUAGCGAACAAGUACCGUGAGGGAAAGAUGAAAAGCACUUUGGAAAGAGAGUGAAACAGUACGUGAAAUUGUUGAAAGGGAAACGCUUGAAGUCAGUCGCGUCGCCCGAGACUCAGCCUUGCCUCGGCUUGGUGUACUUCUCGGCCGACGGGUCAGCAUCAAUUUUGCCCCUUGGAUAAUGGCGAGGGAAAUGUGACACCUUUACGGGUGUGUUAUAGUCUUUCGUCGCAUGCAAGGGUCGGGAUUGAGGAACUCAGCACGCGCCUUUGGGCGUCGGGGUUCGCCCACGAUA